GUUGUUUCCUGUCUUUGUGUUCUCUGCACCAGAUAGGACUGUUUCGGUUUGUAGGUGGUUGUUUCCUGUCUUUGUGUUCUCUGCACCUGAUAGGACUGUUUCGGUUUUGCCACGUGUUAUUUUGUAUUUGUGUUCAUGUUUCAUGUUUCUUAUUAAGAAACAUGAACUUUAACCGCGCUGCAUUUUGGUCCUCCUCUUCUUCCACGGAAGAUAGCCAUUACAGUAUAUGUGUUUCAGCCUUGGAAAUAGAAAUGUUGUUGCUAUGACACCCUAGGUUGUCACACCCUGAUCAGUUUCACCUGUCCUUGUGAUUGUCUCCACCCCCUCCAGGUGUCGCUUAUUUUCCCUGGUGUAUUUAUCCCGGUGUUUCCUGUCUCUCUGCCAGUUUGCCUUGUAUGUUUUUCAAGUCAAUCUAUGUUUUUCCUGAACUCCUGCUUCUAUUCUCUUUUGCAAGUCCUCCCAGUUUUUGACCCUUGCCUGUUUUCUGGACUCCGUACCCGCCUGCCUGACCUCGAGCCUGUCUGACCAGUCUGCCUACCCUGACCUCUAGCCUGCCUGCCACUCUGUACCUCCUAGAUACUGAUCUGGUUUUGACUUUUUUCCUGUCCACGACCGUUCUUGGAUUGUUUAAUAAAUAUCAAGACUCACACCAUCUGCCUCCAGUGUCUGCAUCUGGGUCUCGCCUUGUGCCCUUAAAUAGGUGAAAGAACAUCAAUCUACUGGUGGCUUGCACCUGUAUUUGGGAAUGAACAUGUAUAUUUCUACUUUCUUAGUUAAUAAAAAAACAUGUUUAUUGUUUUGUUCAUGAGACUAGCUCAGCUCGGAGACUCACAAAGCCCAGGAGAAGAGCUGGACAAAUUGCUGUAAUGCUGCAGGGUUUCAAAGCUAUAAUUUGUAAAGGAUUCGGCAACCUGCAGUUUUUAAAUUGGCUGUCGCUGUUAUAUGGCAUAUGCAUACAGGAACUGGAGUAAAAAUGAUGUGUAAUGGCUGUGUAAAUAUUCUAUUUUGUGCUUUAAACAUCCAUGAUAUGUUAUUACCUGACAGAAAAACAAGUGUGAGGAACAUCUAUCAAGUAAAAAUGGUAUGAACUGUACUAAUGGGGAUUGCAUUGUCUCAGUGAAAACCUAUUUUAUCAGCACAGACUAGACACACUAC
Long non-coding RNA from Oncorhynchus tshawytscha (Chinook salmon), 1155 nucleotides. Lineage: Eukaryota; Metazoa; Chordata; Actinopteri; Salmoniformes; Salmonidae. The record is from Ensembl.